UUCCGGUUGACAUUCUGGGUAAUGAGUGUCGAUUGGGACACCGCAGCGGUUGUCACAAGCUCGCAGGGAGUACCGGGUCGUGACAACAAGAGUGAAGAAAUUUAGCAUCCUAAAGUUCUUUUGGAUGAAGGCAUUAUGCAUAGGUUUUAGGCUUGUGAGUAUUCAAUUGCAGGAGGAAGUUCUUCAUCGGCUCCACGCCAUCAACCACAGUAGCA
This 215-nucleotide long non-coding RNA is filed under the name Theobroma cacao (cacao). Its description in RNAcentral is "long non-coding RNA (TCAC_LNC001038)". The record is from RNAcentral. Lineage: Eukaryota; Viridiplantae; Streptophyta; Magnoliopsida; Malvales; Malvaceae.